Molecule: ribosomal RNA, 2002 nt
Filed under: Discoplastis angusta
Lineage: Eukaryota; Euglenozoa; Euglenophyceae; Euglenales; Phacaceae
Description: SSU rRNA
Rfam family: Eukaryotic small subunit ribosomal RNA
Source: RNAcentral
UCAGCAGUCGUCUAUGCGGUAAAGUGUGGUUGGCACCACCCUCUGCCCAGGUGCCCACUUGGACAUCCUCCAAAACCUGGUGGCUAAUACACNCAUGCUCCGGUCUACCACGUUGAACAAACUGUCGGCAACUCUGCUGUCACUCUGUGCGGUGGAUUGCGCCCAGCCGUUGUGAAGACCAGCGCCUGGAAAUGGCAGUGUUCUCAUGGCUGACUCAGGCUGGUGGCCUCUUUCUUGGGGAGGACGAUUGCCCUGGCAGAGUGGUGGCCUAAUUGUGCCACAGCAUCCGCUUGACCGCACGAACUUCUGACCUAUCAGCUUGGACUGUGGUGUAGUGGACCACAGUGGCGGCCACGGGUAACGGAGAAUCAGGGUUCGAUUCCGGAGAGGGAGCCUGAGAGACGGCUACCACUACCAAGGUGGGCAGCAGGCGCGCAAAUUGCCCAAUGCUGAGACAUCUGGCGAGGCAGCAACGAACCGCAGCAAUUCNGCCUGUCCUCUGUGACCGGUGGAACUUGUAAUGGAUGCUAUCCAAACACAGUGAUGAGAAUCAACUGGAGGGCAAGUCUGGUGCCAGCAGCUGCGGUAAUUCCAGCUCCAAGUGCGUAUACUGACAUUGCUGCUGUUAAAACACUUGUAGUCUGCCUCUGGGUGCAGGUCUGUCAGGUGGCCUGGUGGGGUGUUGUCUGGCUUUGCAAUGGCCCUCGGGCCUUGUGGGGCUGGGUGGCAUUUCGCUGGGAUCCAACCCCUGGCGGUAUGUUCCUGUACCCGCCUUUCCGAUGGUGGUUUAUUGGCUCCUGCUCCAAAGCCUCCUUCAGUGGGGGCCCAGGGCGGCAUCGUGCCGGAAGCACACGUGGGCAACCAUUGGGCGUUCCUCCCCGCGAGGCCAUCCCAAGCCCGCCUUCGGAGUCCACCAUCGCCGCCACCGUGGAAAACUCAGUGUGCCCCAAGCAGCCAUUCUUGGCUGAAUGUCUGUCCAUGGAAUGUCCAAGCAUCGACCUACUGGGCCAUUCGGAGUUGUGCUGGCCUUGGUGCCCAAUUCAGGGGAAUGUGGUGCUGUCCCUGCUCUGGCUCUGUUGGGGGUGCCAACCCGUCAUCCCCAGCAUCCGGUUGCCAGUGGGCAUGCAUUUAUCGGACAUGAUGGGACUGCCCAGGGUGCAAGAUACUGCAACGCCAGAGGUGAAAUUCUUAGACCGUUGCAUGAUCAACUGCAGCGAAGGCGUUGUGCAUUGGCCUGUCCGUCGAUCAAGAAUGAGAGUGUGGGGAGCAAAGAUGAUCAGACACCGUCGUAGUCCACGACUGUAAACCAUGCCAGCUUGGCAUUGAGGGUGCAAGUACACGGACACCCCCAGUGCCAUGCCCCCUACAACGAGAAAUCCAAGCCUUUGGGUUCAGGGGGAAGUACCGUCGCAAGGCUGAAACUUAAAGGAAUUGACGGAAUGGCACCACAAGGCGUGGAGUAUGCGGCUUAAGUUGACUCAACACGGGGAAUGUUACCAGGUCAGGACGUUGCUGGGAUGGACAGACUGAGAGCUCUUUCUUGAUCCCUUGGAUGGUGGUGCAUGGCCGCUCCUGAUUGGUGGAGUGAUUUGUCUGGUUGAUUCCGAUAACGAGUGAGACAUCUGCCUCCCACUAGCCCCUGGCUCGCAUUUGUAGGGCGGCUUGGCUGUUCCCCCUGGGUUCCCCUCUGGGCGGUUCGCCGUUCAGGGAUGUGGCCCUGGGGGACGCCAGUUGUUCGCCCGAGAGCCGCUGGGUUCAGCUUCUCUGAGGUGCUGCGCACGCCACCAAGUGCCCGCAUGCUAGAGCCAACAGCAGGUCUGUGAUGCUCCCAGAUGUCCUGGGCCGCACGCGCACUACAUUGACGCAGUGAAUGAGUUCCGCUCGCCUUGUCGAGACCCACCUGGAAGUUGGUGGGAAACCACGGGAGCCUGUGCUGUACUGGGGAUAGAUGAUUGCAACUGUCUGCCUUGAACGAGGAAUGCCUAGUAUGCGCAGGUCAUCA